GAGGAAUAUUGGUCAAUGGGCGUAAGCCUGAACCAGCCAAGUCGCGUGAGGGAUGAAGGUUCUAUGGAUCGUAAACCUCUUUUAUAAGGGAAUAAAGUGUGGGACGUGUCCUAUUUUGUAUGUACCUUAUGAAUAAGGAUCGGCUAACUCCGUGCCAGCAGCCGCGGUAAUACGGAGGAUCCGAGCGUUAUCCGGAUUUAUUGGGUUUAAAGGGUGCGUAGGCGGCCUUUUAAGUCAGCGGUGAAAGUCUGUGGCCCAACCAUAGAAUUGCCGUUGAAACUGGGAGGCUUGAGUAUGUUUGAGGCAGGCGGAAUGCGUGGUGUAGCGGUGAAAUGCUUAGAUAUCACGCAGAACCCCGAUUGCGAAGGCAGCCUGCCAAGCCAUGACUGACGCUGAUGCACGAAAGCGUGGGGAUCAAACAGGAUUAGAUACCCUGGUAGUCCACGCAGUAAACGAUGAUCACUAGCUGUUUGCGAUACAGUGUAAGCGGCACAGCGAAAGCGUUAAGUGAUCCACCUGGGGAGUACGCCGGCAACGGUGAAACUCAAAGGAAUUGACGGGGGCCCGCACAAGCGGAGGAACAUGUGGUUUAAUUCGAUGAUACGCGAGGAACCUUACCCGGGUUUGAACGCAUUCGGACCGAGGUGGAAACACCUUUUCUAGCAAUAGCCGUUUGCGAGGUGCUGCAUGGUUGUCGUCAGCUCGUGCCGUGAGGUGUCGGCUUAAGUGCCAUAACGAGCGCAACCCUUGCCACUAGUUACUAACAGGUGAUGCUGAGGACUCUGGUGGGACUGCCAGCGUAAGCUGCGAGGAAGGCGGGGAUGACGUCAAAUCAGCACGGCCCUUACAUCCGGGGCGACACACGUGUUACAAUGGCGUGGACAAAGGGAUGCCACCUGGCGACAGGGAGCGAAUCCCCAAACCACGUCUCAGUUCGGAUCGGAGUCUGCAACCCGACUCCGUGAAGCUGGAUUCGCUAGUAAUCGCGCAUCAGCCAUGGCGCGGUGAAUACGUUCCCG
Molecule: ribosomal RNA, 1019 nt
Filed under: uncultured organism
Description: bacterial SSU rRNA
Rfam family: Bacterial small subunit ribosomal RNA
Source: RNAcentral